GACGAACGCUGGCGGCGUGCUUAACACAUGCAAGUCGAACGGAAAGGCCCUGCUUUUGUGGGGUGCUCGAGUGGCGAACGGGUGAGUAACACGUGAGUAACCUGCCCUUGACUUUGGGAUAACUUCAGGAAACUGGGGCUAAUACCGGAUAGGAGCUCCUGCUGCAUGGUGGGGGUUGGAGAGUUUCGGCGGUUGGGGAUGGACUCGCGGCUUAUCAGCUUGUUGGUGGGGUAGUGGCUUACCAAGGCUUUGACGGGUAGCCGGCCUGGGAGGGUGACCGGCCACAUUGGGACUGAGAUACGGCCCAGACUCCUACGGGAGGAAGCAGUGGGGAAUAUUGCACAAUGGGCGGAGGCCUGAUGCAGCAACGCCGCGUGGGGAAUGACGGCCUUCGGGUUGUAAACCGCUUUCGCCGGUGACGAAGCGUGAGUGACGGUAAUGGGUAAAGAAGCACCGGCUAACUACGUG
RNAcentral lists this ribosomal RNA (468 nucleotides) under uncultured bacterium. RNAcentral's name for it is "partial 16S ribosomal RNA". It matches the Rfam family "Bacterial small subunit ribosomal RNA", at positions 28 to 507 of the family's 1533-position model. The record is from RNAcentral.